RNAcentral lists this ribosomal RNA (460 nucleotides) under uncultured bacterium. Its description in RNAcentral is "partial 16S ribosomal RNA". It matches the Rfam family "Bacterial small subunit ribosomal RNA", at positions 338 to 795 of the family's 1533-position model. The record is from RNAcentral.
CCUACGGGUGGCAGCAGUGAGGACUAUUGGUCAAUGGGCGGAAGCCUGAACCAGCCAAGUAGCGUGCAGGCUGACGGCCCUACGGGUUGUACACUGCUUUUAUACGGGAAUAACGCGCCUUACGUGUAGGGCUUUGCAUGUACCGUAUGAAUAAGGACCGGCUAAUUCCGUGCCAGCAGCCGCGGUCCUACGGAAGGUCCGGGCGUUAUCCUGAUUUAUUGGGUGUAAAGGGAGCGUAGGCCGCAUGUCCAGCGUGCUGUGAAAUGUCCGGGCUCAACCCGGGCCUUGCAGCGCGAACUGGCGUGCGUGAGUCCGCGGAAAGCAGGCGGAAUUCGUCGUGUAGCGGUGAAAUGCUUAGAUAUGACGAAGAACCCCGAUUGCGAAGGCAGCUUGCUGCAGCGGAACUGACGCUGAUGCUCGAAAGCGCGGGUAUCGAACAGGAUUAGAUACCCCAGUAGUC